Molecule: long non-coding RNA, 929 nt
Filed under: Rattus norvegicus (Norway rat)
Lineage: Eukaryota; Metazoa; Chordata; Mammalia; Rodentia; Muridae
Description: long non-coding RNA NONRATT023594
Source: RNAcentral
AGAGUGUUCUGCUUUCGGGCGUGUAGUUUUUCCUCUCUACAGGUCUUCAGCUGUUCCUGUGGGCCUGUGUCUUGAGUUCACCAGGCAGCUUUCUUGCAGCAGAAAAUUUGUUCUUACCUGUGGUCCUGAGGCUCAAGUUCGCUCGUGGGGUGCCGCCCAGGGGCUCUCUGCAGCGGCAGCAACCAGGAAGACCUGUGCCGCCCCUUCCGGGAGCUUCAGUGCACCAGGGUUCCAGAUGGUCUUUGGCUUUUUCCUCUGGCAUCCGAGAUGUGUGUGCAGGGAGCAGUCUCUUCUGGUUUCCCAGGCUUGUCUGCCUCUCUGAAGGUUUAGCUCUCCCUCCCACAGGAUUUGGGUACAGAGAACUGUUUAUCCGGUCUGUCUUUCAGGUUCAGGCGGUGUCUCUGGCAGGGGUCCUGCCGCUCCCCCACGGGAGCCCAGAGGCCUUAUACAGUUUCCUCUUGGGCCAGGGAUGUGGGCAGGGGUGAGCAGUGUUGGUGGUCUCUUCCGCUCUGCAGCCUCAGGAGUGCCCACCUGACCGUGAUGAACCUUCUUAUGUUGAGUUUUACUUUUCCUUCUAAAAGGCCGUUCUUCUCCUCCUCCGUUUUUUAUCUUUCUUUUCUCCUUUGCUAGGCUUUGAGUGACUUCAGGUUUGUGCCUUUAGGUCAAAAGAUGCCCUCCAUCCAAGAAGAGAACCCAGUCUAUACAAGGAAGAAGCAGAAGCAAAAGGUUAAGCCAUGACUUUGUGACCCCAGCUAUGAGCAGGCUGGAGCCAUCUCUGGUGAAACCAACCCCAGGCAUGACACCUAGGUUUGAUUCCAGGGUCUUCAAAACUCCAGGUCUACGAACCCCAGCGGCCAAGGAGCAGGUUUACAACAUCUCUAUCAACGGCAGCCCUCUCGCAGACAGCAAAGAGAUCUCCCUCAGUGUGC